RNAcentral lists this long non-coding RNA (782 nucleotides) under Citrus x clementina. Its description in RNAcentral is "Citrus clementina (C. clementina) long non-coding RNA (CCLE_LNC005272)". Lineage: Eukaryota; Viridiplantae; Streptophyta; Magnoliopsida; Sapindales; Rutaceae. The record is from RNAcentral.
GCCCGGACCCGGACCCGGACCGGUUGCAUCCGGGCAGGGUCCGGUCAUUGCAAUAUCUGGACCCAGCCCGAAAUUUUGCCAUCCCUAGGAGUGGCUAGCAUCAGAGUUGGUUUGAGGAUAAUUUCAUCUUUCAUCAAUAUAAGAAUAAUUUAGAUAAAUUUAUUUACCCAUAUUUGAAAUUAUUAGAUAUACUAGGAACCUUAAUUCAUAAACACUAAUAAUUUAUUAAUAUAUAUAUAUAUACACACACACACAAAAGGCAGCAUGUCUCAUUUGCUACAUCAUUUCCAUGAACUUUAAUUUUUUUUAAUUUUAAAUAUGAUAAGAAACUAGAAAAGAAAAAAAAAUCGAGAUGAAUGCAUAAAAUGGUCACAUCAUAGUUCUUAACAAUUAUGGAUACGCUAGAGCCAAUUUUCAUACUGAAGACAAAAGAAUUAACUCCACCAAUUCACCAUGAAAGCAAUUUAUUUGAAUUGUAAACAAAGAAUAUCCACAAGUGACUUGUGAGAGGAUAUCACCGAACCCUUGGUUGAGAAGGAUAGAAUAAUGAAAGCAAAGGGGAAGAUCAUUACGUGCAAUGGAAGGGAAUAAGAUGCUCCAAUCACAUGAUCCAUUGGUCCUACUUAUCGUAUGACUUUAAUUUUUGUUGUUAGUAUGACUUUUAUUUUAUUUUAUUUUUCAAUCAAUCAUCUCUUAAUAGUAUAGUUGCCAAUGCUAUUCUAAAUUUUUGUUUGGAAUUGAGGUGAUGUAACUUUUAAAUUACAACUAUUAUAAAAAAAUUA